AAUCCAUCUGGUCGAUCCCUGCGUCCAGGCAAUCCAAUCCGGGUCGAGGCAAUCCAAUCCAGCUCGUGAAGCUUGGGACGAGAGAGAUAAUGGCAGACUCCUCGCCUACUUGAAACUGCUCUGCCCUCCUUCAAGCUUGCAAUCAUGGCCCUCCUUAGGAGAAAGGUUGACAGAGUAAUUCAGGGCUUUAAUGGCAGUUGAUGCGCAGCACUCGCCCGGAGCUGAUUGUUGCAAGCUGCGGAGGACCACCACCAUGACCAUUCGCUGGAUUCAGCUCUCCACCUCGCUCUCUUGGUCGUCCAGAAAAAAACCAAGAGCGCUGGUGACGGCACUGGCGACUAUGGGCAAUGCCCACUUCUGAAGUUUUUGUCACUGCCCUCAACCAUAGGAUUUGAGAUUGGUUGUCAAUUUCUGAUGGUUGAUUUCAUCUAAGUUGCCGCUUUUCCUUACUACAGAUUUUUGGCUGCCUUCUACAUCCGCUCUCCCACCAAAUUACUAAUGGUGUUAGACUUUUUUUCUUACUGCUAUUUUUUUGUGCUACCAAAUUGAUGCAGGUGCUAUCAAAAAGGAUUGUCGCUGAUGUUAGUGGUAGGUUGUGUUGGGGAAUUCCUAAUUCCUAGCUCAUGAUUUGCAAUGGCUAUCAGCCAUAUUGUACGUGAAUUCUCGUAUGUCAUCUUAUUAUCUUAAUAUCCAUGUAUAUAUGCCUAUGAUUUGUAAAUU
Molecule: long non-coding RNA, 720 nt
Organism: Triticum dicoccoides
Lineage: Eukaryota; Viridiplantae; Streptophyta; Magnoliopsida; Poales; Poaceae
Exons: 3
Source: RefSeq, a predicted model, not a curated record